UACGUAGGGUGCGAGCGUUGUCCGGAAUUAUUGGGCGUAAAGAGCUCGUAGGCGGUUUGUUGCGUCGGCCGUGAAAACCUGCAGCUUAACUGUGGGCCUGCGGCCGAUACGGGCAGACUUGAGUUCGGUAGGGGAGACUGGAAUUCCUGGUGUAGCGGUGAAAUGCGCAGAUAUCAGGAGGAACACCGGUGGCGAAGGCGGGUCUCUGGGCCGAUGCUGACGCUGAGGAGCGAAAGCGUGGGGAGCGAACAGG
RNAcentral lists this ribosomal RNA (253 nucleotides) under uncultured bacterium. RNAcentral's name for it is "partial 16S ribosomal RNA". It matches the Rfam family "Bacterial small subunit ribosomal RNA", at positions 524 to 776 of the family's 1533-position model. The record is from RNAcentral.